This is a long non-coding RNA of Mesocricetus auratus (golden hamster), 372 nucleotides long. RefSeq lists it as uncharacterized. The record is from RefSeq and is a predicted model, not a curated record. Lineage: Eukaryota; Metazoa; Chordata; Mammalia; Rodentia; Cricetidae. The transcript has 2 exons.
ACUUGUGUUAGAGCAACAUAGAAAGGAAUUAGUGGUGUCACCAUGAACUAGGGGAUAAACUUUUUUUUAAAAAAUUAAUACAUUGAUUUUUUGUGGGUAUAGGUGUUUUGCCUGCAUGUUUGUCUGUGCACCACAGGUGUGCCUAGUGUCUGAGGAGGCCAGAAGAGGGCGUCAGAUCCUCUAAGACUGGAGCUGGGAAUCCAGGCCUUCUGGAAGAGCAGUUAGUGCUCUUAACUGAGGAGCAGUCUUUGACACGUUUCUCCGUAGCUUUGGAGCCUGUCCUGGACCGCACUGUAGACCAGAGGCUGGUCUAGAAGAGAUGCACCUGUCUCUGCCUCCCAAACACUGGGAUUAAAGGUGGGUGCCACCACU